Molecule: transfer RNA, 68 nt
Filed under: Marmota monax (woodchuck)
Lineage: Eukaryota; Metazoa; Chordata; Mammalia; Rodentia; Sciuridae
Description: tRNA.Ala
Source: RNAcentral
GGAUUGUGGCUCAGCGAUAGAAUGCUCGCCUAGCAUGUGUGAGGCCCUGGGUUUGAUCCUCAGCACCA